RNAcentral lists this ribosomal RNA (253 nucleotides) under uncultured bacterium. RNAcentral describes it as "partial 16S ribosomal RNA". It matches the Rfam family "Bacterial small subunit ribosomal RNA", at positions 524 to 776 of the family's 1533-position model. The record is from RNAcentral.
GACGUAGGGUGCAAGCGUUAUCCGGAAUUAUUGGGCGUAAAGAGCUCGUAGGCGGUUUGUCGCGUCUGCUGUGAAAACUGGAGGCUCAACCUCGGGUCUGCAGUGGGUACGGGCAGACUGGAGUGCGGUAGGGGAGAAUGGAAUUCCUGGUGUAGCGGUGGAAUGCGCAGAUAUCAGGAGGAACACCGAUGGCGAAGGCAGUUCUCUGGGCCGUAACUGACGCUGAGGAGCGAAAGCGUGGGGAGCGAACAGG